AUUGAACGCUGGCGGCAGGCCUAACACAUGCAAGUCGAACGAGUGGCGGACGGGUGAGUAAUGUAUGGGAAUCUGGCCUAUAGAGGGGGAUAACUACUGGAAACGGUAGCUAAUACCGCAUACUAUCGGAUGAACCCAUAUGGGAUUAGCUAGUUGGUGGGGUAAAGGCUCACCAAGGCGACGAUCGCUAGCUGGUCUGAGAGGAUGAUCAGCCACACUGUGACUGAGACACGGCCCAGACUCCUACGGGAGGCAGCAGUGGGGAAUAUUGCGCAAUGGGCGCAACCCUGACGCAGCCAUGCCGCGUGAAUGAAGAAGGCCUUCGGGUUGUAAAGUUCUUUCGGUAGCGAGGCGGUAACUACAGAAGAAGCACCGGCUAACUCCGUGCCAGCAGCCGCGGUAAUAC
RNAcentral lists this ribosomal RNA (406 nucleotides) under uncultured bacterium. RNAcentral describes it as "partial 16S ribosomal RNA". It matches the Rfam family "Bacterial small subunit ribosomal RNA", at positions 30 to 526 of the family's 1533-position model. The record is from RNAcentral.